CUUGCUUCUUCAAUCUUAGUGGCGAACGGGUGAGUAAUACAUAAGCAACCUGCCUCUAUGCCUGGGAUAACAGUUGGAAACGACUGCUAAUACCGGAUAACUUCUUCUACCUCAUGGUAGUUGAAUAAAAGAUGGGAUACAUUACAUAGAGAUGGGCUUAUGGCGCAUUAGUUAGUUGGUGAGGUAACGGCUCACCAAGCCCGCGAUCGGUAGCCGGACUGAGAGGUUGACCGGCCACAUUGGGACUGAGACACGGCCCAGACUCC
RNAcentral lists this ribosomal RNA (266 nucleotides) under uncultured Erysipelothrix sp. RNAcentral describes it as "partial 16S ribosomal RNA". It matches the Rfam family "Bacterial small subunit ribosomal RNA", at positions 74 to 339 of the family's 1533-position model. Lineage: Bacteria; Bacillati; Bacillota; Erysipelotrichia; Erysipelotrichales; Erysipelotrichaceae. The record is from RNAcentral.